CCUACGGGCGGCAGCAGUGGGGAAUAUUGCACAAUGGGGGAAACCCUGAUGCAGCGACGCCGCGUGAGUGAAGAAGUAACUCGUUAUGUAAAGCUCUAUCAGCAGGGAAGAAAAUGACGGUACCUGUGUAAGAAGCCCCGGCUAACUACGUGACAGCAGCCGCGGUAAUACGUAGGGGGCCAGCGUUAUCCGGAUUUACUGGGUGUUAAGGGAGCGUAGACGGGAGUGCAAGUCUGGAGUGAAAGGCGGGGGCUCAACCCCCGGACUGCUCUGGAAACUGUACGGCUGGAGUGCAGGAGAGGUAAGUGGAAUGCCUGGUGUAGCGGUGAAAUGCGUAGAUAUUAGGAAGAACACCAGUGGCGAAGGCAGCUUACUGGACUGUAACUGACGUUGAGGCUCGAAAGCGUGGGGAGCAAACAGGAUUAGAUACCCCAGUAGUC
RNAcentral lists this ribosomal RNA (440 nucleotides) under uncultured bacterium. RNAcentral describes it as "partial 16S ribosomal RNA". It matches the Rfam family "Bacterial small subunit ribosomal RNA", at positions 338 to 795 of the family's 1533-position model. The record is from RNAcentral.